RNAcentral lists this long non-coding RNA (1044 nucleotides) under Capra hircus (goat). RNAcentral's name for it is "lncRNA (ENSCHIG00010002721.1)". The record is from RNAcentral. Lineage: Eukaryota; Metazoa; Chordata; Mammalia; Artiodactyla; Bovidae.
UGGGAGUUGGUGAUGGACACGGAAGCCUGGCGUGCUGCAGUCUAUGGGGUUGCAGAGUUGGACACAACUGAGUGACUGAACUGAACUGAAUAGAAUUACUUUCUUAAAAAAGAAAUAAAGUGAAAUGAAAUAAAACAUAAAAUGCAAUAAAUGCCUUGAGGUUGGAAUGGGGAGGAAAGCUACACAGGAUUACUGUAGCGGAGGAAGCCAUUUAUAAAAACCCAAAGUUUCAAUGACAAUAAGAAGUUCUUACAUUGUGAUGAUUAAGUUUACUCUGACAUCAUCAAUAUACUUCCUUUCCCCACUUCAACUCCUCAGACCUAUAAAAGUAAAAUGAAAGAAUGGAAAUAGAUUCAUCAUUAAGGAGAUCAUCUACGUUCCAGAUGUUUUUUCAGUAGAAAGUUUAAAAACCUUCCAAUUAGGAUGUCUCCACCUACCACGGACUACCUCAAAAAGCUGAGUCAGUUUUCCUGGAGUGUGUUGUCAUUUGUUUAACUUUGAGCAACAGUGGCCACACCUCUUCCUGACAGUAAGCUGGCAAAACUCCUCACACUACUUUCUUAAUGGUAUUUUUAAAAGAGAACAUUUAAAAACACUAAAAAGGCUUUAUGGUUUCUGUAAGAAUGAUAAAGCUCAUAGUAUACAGUUCAAAUAUUUUAAAACAUGUUGAGAAAGAUAAAAAAAUUUUUUUAAAAUCUCAUUUCCAGGCAUUAAAGAGUAUUCUUGAGGGCUUUUCAGAUGGCAUUAGCGGUAAAGAAUAUUCUUAGACAUUCUUCAAACAUUUCUCAGACUCUGUAUACAUCUAUAGACUGAUUGUGUGUGUGUGUGUUGAGACUUCUGGUUUGCACCACCCCAACCCCAUACCACCACCAGUUUUUGCUUAUUAUAAACAACAUUCUGAUGAAUCUUCAUUCUAUGGGUCAUUUCAAAUUUGUGUAAUUAUCUCCUGAGAACAGAUUCCCUGAAGUGGGAUGCCAGGGAAAAGGACAUACAUACAGUAUCUGACUAAAUAUUUCUAGACUGCUUUGGGGAAGCAUAUAGGUC